RNAcentral lists this ribosomal RNA (632 nucleotides) under Salmonella enterica subsp. enterica serovar Arechavaleta. RNAcentral describes it as "partial 23S ribosomal RNA". It matches the Rfam family "Bacterial large subunit ribosomal RNA", at positions 2211 to 2837 of the family's 2925-position model. The record is from RNAcentral. Lineage: Bacteria; Pseudomonadati; Pseudomonadota; Gammaproteobacteria; Enterobacterales; Enterobacteriaceae.
UGUUUGAUGUUCUAACGUGGACCCGUGAUCCGGGUUGCGGACAGUGUCUGGUGGGUAGUUUGACUGGGGCGGUCUCCUCCUAAAGAGUAACGGAGGAGCACGAAGGUUGGCUAAUCCUGGUCGGACAUCAGGAGGUUAGUGCAAUGGCAUAAGCCAGCUUGACUGCGAGCGUGACGGCGCGAGCAGGUGCGAAAGCAGGUCAUAGUGAUCCGGUGGUUCUGAAUGGAAGGGCCAUCGCUCAACGGAUAAAAGGUACUCCGGGGAUAACAGGCUGAUACCGCCCAAGAGUUCAUAUCGACGGCGGUGUUUGGCACCUCGAUGUCGGCUCAUCACAUCCUGGGGCUGAAGUAGGUCCCAAGGGUAUGGCUGUUCGCCAUUUAAAGUGGUACGCGAGCUGGGUUUAGAACGUCGUGAGACAGUUCGGUCCCUAUCUGCCGUGGGCGCUGGAGAACUGAGGGGGGCUGCUCCUAGUACGAGAGGACCGGAGUGGACGCAUCACUGGUGUUCGGGUUGUCAUGCCAAUGGCACUGCCCGGUAGCUAAAUGCGGAAGAGAUAAGUGCUGAAAGCAUCUAAGCACGAAACUUGCCCCGAGAUGAGUUCUCCCUGAGACUUUAGGUCUCCUGAAGGAACG